CACGGAGGGUGCGAGCGUUGUCCGGAAUUAUUGGGCGUAAAGGGCUCGUAGGCGGUUUGUCGCGUCGGGAGUGAAAACCCAGGGCUUAACCCUGGGCUGGCUUCCGAUACGGGCAGACUAGAGGUAUGCAGGGGAGAACGGAAUUCCUGGUGUAGCGGUGAAAUGCGCAGAUAUCAGGAGGAACACCGGUGGCGAAGGCGGAUCUCUGGGCCAUUACUGACGCUGAGGAGCGAAAGCGUGGGGAGCGAACAGG
RNAcentral lists this ribosomal RNA (253 nucleotides) under uncultured bacterium. RNAcentral describes it as "partial 16S ribosomal RNA". It matches the Rfam family "Bacterial small subunit ribosomal RNA", at positions 524 to 776 of the family's 1533-position model. The record is from RNAcentral.